GACGAACGCUGGCGGCGUGCCUAACACAUGCAAGUCGAACGGAACUGUUUUGAAAGAUUUCUUCGGAAUGAAUUUGAUUUAGUUUAGUGGCGGACGGGUGAGUAACGCGUGAGUAACCUGCCUUCAAGAGGGGGAUAACAUUCUGAAAAGAAUGCUAAUACCGCAUGAUAUAUCGGAACCACAUGGUUCUGAUAUCAAAGAUUUUAUCGCUUGAAGAUGGACUCGCGUCCGAUUAGUUAGUUGGUGAGGUAACGGCUCACCAAGACCGCGAUCGGUAGCCGGACUGAGAGGUUGAACGGCCACAUUGGGACUGAGACACGGCCCAGACUCCUACGGGAGGCAGCAGUGGGGGAUAUUGCGCAAUGGGGGCAACCCUGACGCAGCAACGCCGCGUGAAGGAUGAAGGUUUUCGGAUUGUAAACUUCUUUUAUUAAGGACGAAAAAUGACGGUACUUAAUGAAUAAGCUCCGGCUAACUACGUG
Molecule: ribosomal RNA, 482 nt
Filed under: uncultured bacterium
Lineage: Bacteria
Description: bacterial SSU rRNA
Rfam family: Bacterial small subunit ribosomal RNA
Source: RNAcentral